Molecule: long non-coding RNA, 3359 nt
Organism: Oncorhynchus tshawytscha (Chinook salmon)
Lineage: Eukaryota; Metazoa; Chordata; Actinopteri; Salmoniformes; Salmonidae
Source: Ensembl
UAAAGUGGCUAGUGAUACAUGUAUUACAUAAGGAUGCAGUCGAUGAUAUAGAGUACAGUAUCAACGUAUGCAUAUGAGAUGAACAAUGUAGGGUAAGUAACAUUAUAUAAGGUAGCAUUGUUUAAAGUGGCUAGUGAUAUAUUUACAUCAUUUCCCAUCAAUUCCCAUGAUUAAAGUGGCUGGAGUAGAGUCAGUGUCAUUGACAGUGUGUUGGCAGUAGCCACUCAAUGUUAGUGGUGGCUGUUUAACAGUCUGAUGGCCUUGAGAUAGAAGCUGUUUUUCAGUCUCUCGGUCCCAGCUUUGAUGCACCUGUACUGACCUCGCCUUCUGGAUGACAGCGGGGUGAACAGGCAGUGGCUCGGGUGGUUGAUAUCCUUGAUGAUCUUUAUGGCCUUCCUGUAGCAUCGGGUGGUGUAGGUGUCCUGGAGGGCAGGUAGUUUGCCCCCGGUGAUGCGUUGUGCAGACCUCACUACCCUCUGGAGAGCCUUACGGUUGAGGGCGGUGCAGUUGCCAUACCAGGCGGUGAUACAGCCCGCCAGGAUGGUGGGAGGGUUAAAUACACAACAGGUAAUUAAAUGGCAUUGAAACCAGGUGUGUUGGAAGACAAGACAAAACCAAUGGGAAAUGAAAAAUGGAUCAAUGAUGACUAGAAGACCGGUGACGUCGACCGAGGAGCACCGCCCGAACAAGGAGAGGCAACAACUUCGGCAGAAGUAGUGACAACGGGUUUAGGAUUGUAUAGGGUUAAAACAUUAGGUUUAGUCUCUCAUUCUAAAUGGUUAAGGUAAAGGUCAAGGUUUGGAAAGGGUUAAGGUACUGGUCAAGGAUUGGAUAGGGUUAAGGUACUGGUUAAGGUUUGGAUAGGGUUAAGGUACUGGUUAAGGAUUGGAUAGGAUUAAGGUACUGGUCAAGGUUUGGAUAGGGUUAAGGUACUGGUUAAGGAUUGGAUAGGGUUAAGGUACUGGUCAAGGUUUGGAUAGGGUUAAGGUACUGGUUAAGGAUUGGAUAGGGUUAAGGUACUGGUCAAGGUUUGGAUAGGGUUAAGGUUUGGAUAGGGUUAAGGUACUGGUUAAGGUUUGGAUAGGGUUAAGGUACUGGUUAAGGUUUGGAUAGGGUUAAGGUACUGGUCAAGGUUUGGAUAGGGUUAAGGUACUGGUCAAGGUUUGGAUAGGGUUAAGGUACUGGUUAAGGAUUGGAUAGGGUUAAGGUACUGGUUAAGGAUUGGAUAGGGUUAAGGUACUGGUCAAGGUUUGGAUAGGGUUAAGGUACUGGUUAAGGAUUGGAUAGGGUUACGGUACUGGUCAAGGUUUGGAUAGGGUUAAGGUACUGGUUAAGGAUUGGAUAGGAUUAAGGUACUGGUCAAGGUUUGGAUAGGGUUAAGGUACUGGUUAAGGAUUGGAUAGGGUUAAGGUACUGGUCAAGGUUUGGAUAGGGUUAAGGUACUGGUCAAGGUUUGGAUAGGGUUAAGGUACUGGUUAAGGAUUGGAUAGGGUUAAGGUACUGGUUAAGGAUUGGAUAGGGUUAAGGUACUGGUCAAGGUUUGGAUAGGGUUAAGGUACUGGUUAAGGAUUGGAUAGGGUUAAGGUACUGGUCAAGGUUUGGAUAGGGCUAAGGUACUGGUUAAGGAUUCUAUAGGGUUAAGACAUUGAGUUUAGUCUCUCAUUCUGAAUGGUUAAGGUAAAGGUCAAGGUUUGGAUAGGGUUAAGUUAAAACCAACUAUAAAAACCAGUGUCUGUGACCAGGAUCAAACACACAGCCUUCUGAUCCAGAGGUAUGGGAUUCCACCUCUCCAUCCGCUCAUCCACAACACUCCAGCAAAACCCAGGCCUACUUGAUGGUAAUAGUGCUCACUGUUGCCUCUAGUGGCUGGUUUUGAAGGCAUUUCCCGAUGUCUUCAGGAAAGCGAUAGACGUCCAAUUUCAACAAUAAUCUUGAACGAACUGGCUGCACACACACACACACACACACACACACACACACACACACAAUGCCUCGGAUCCCUAAGCGCUUCCUGCUAGCCGACCUGUGAAUGUCUAUCUGCUAGGAGGGCUCUUACUCUGGCCCUUUGCCUCAUACUUGGAGAUUGCCCCACAUUUGGAGGAGGGAUGGGAUGAUGGUACAAGUCAGUUAGUAUGACGCGAGGGCACUGAGGGAGUGUCCCAAAUGUCAGCCUAUUACCUAUAGUGCACUACUUUUGCCCAGGGUUCAUAGGGAAGAGGAUGCCAUUUGGUAUGGUACCUACCUACUGCAUCAUUUUAAAGAUACUGUAUAGAUAGAUAUAUACAGUACCAGUCAAAGUUUGGACUCAGCUACUCAAUCAAGGUUUUUUCUUUGUUUUGUACUAUUUUGUACAAAACUAUGACACAUAUGGAAUCAUGCAGUAACCAAAAAAGUGUAAAACAAAUCAAAAUAUAAUUUAUAUUUGAGAUUCUUCAAAGUAGCCACCCCUUGCCUCGAUAACAGCUUUGCACACUCUUGGCAUUCUCUCAACCGGCUUCAUGAGGUAGUCACCUGGAAUGCAUUUCAAUUAACAUGUGUGCCUUGUUAAAAGUUAAUUUGUGGAAUUUCUUUCCUUCUUUAAUGAGUUUGAGCCAAUCAGUUGUGUUUUGACAAGGUAGGGGUGGUAUACAGGUAAAAGACAAAGUCCAUAUUAUGGCAACAACAGCUAAGCAAAGAGAAACAACAGUGGGUCCAAACUUUUGACUGGUACUAUAUGUAGUGCACUACUUUUGACCAGGGUUCAUAUAUGUAGUGCACUACUUUUGACCAGGGUUCAUAUAUGUAGUGCACUACUUUUGGCCAGGGUUCAAAUAUGUAGUGCACUACUUUUGGCCAGGGUUCAUAUAUGUAGUGCACUACUUUUGACCAGGGUUCAUAUAUGUAGUGCACUACUUUUGGCCAGGGUUCAAAUAUGUAGUGCACUACUUUUGGCCAGGGUUCAUAUAUGUAGUGCACUACUUUUGACCAGGGUUCAUAUAUGUAGUGCACUACUUUUGGCCAGGGUUCAUAUAUGUAGUGCACUACUUUUGGCCAGGGUUCAUAUAUGUAGUGCACUACUUCUGACCAGGGUUCAUAUAUGUAGUGCACUACAUUUGACCAGGGUUCAUAUAUGUAGUGCACUACUUUUGACCAGGGCUGCUGUUUAACAGGCUCCCAACCAGCUGUGCUAUUGUGUUAGUUUUUUCGCAUUGUUAGUAACUUGUUUUGUACAUAAUGUUGCUUCUACCGUCUCUUAUGACCGGAAAGAGCUUCUGGACGUCAGAACGGCGAUUCCUCACCUCGAACUGGAUGAAGAUUUUUUCUUUAAUGAGUCCGAUGCAAAGGAUUUACUGCUUUGUCAAGGUCCAAAUCCCCGUCAU